This 465-nucleotide ribosomal RNA is filed under the name uncultured bacterium. Its description in RNAcentral is "partial 16S ribosomal RNA". It matches the Rfam family "Bacterial small subunit ribosomal RNA", at positions 28 to 507 of the family's 1533-position model. The record is from RNAcentral.
GACGAACGCUGGCGGCGUGCUUAACACAUGCAAGUCGAACGGAAAGGCCCUGCUUGCAGGGUACUCGAGUGGCGAACGGGUGAGUAACACGUGGGUGAUCUGCCCUGCACUUCGGGAUAAGCCUGGGAAACUGGGUCUAAUACCGGAUAGGAGCCAUUUUUAGUGUGAUGGUUGGAAAGUUUUUUCGGUGUAGGAUGGGCUCGCGGCCUAUCAGCUUGUUGGUGGGGUAAUGGCCUACCAAGGCGGCGACGGGUGGCCGGCCUGAGAGGGUGGACGGCCACAUUGGGACUGAGAUACGGCCCAGACUCCUACGGGAGGCAGCAGUGGGGAAUAUUGCACAAUGGGCGCAAGCCUGAUGCAGCGACGCCGCGUGGGGGAUGACGGCCUUCGGGUUGUAAACUCCUUUCGCUAGGGACGAAGCUUUUUGUGACGGUACCUAGAUAAGAAGCACCGGCUAACUACGUG